Non-coding RNA from Aedes albopictus (Asian tiger mosquito), 67 nucleotides. Lineage: Eukaryota; Metazoa; Arthropoda; Insecta; Diptera; Culicidae. The record is from Rfam.
UCUGUGGCUUAGUUGGUUAAAGCGCAGGUUAAGUGAAAACGGAGUCGUGGGUUCAAAUCUCACCAGA